RNAcentral lists this long non-coding RNA (4160 nucleotides) under Solanum tuberosum (potato). Its description in RNAcentral is "long non-coding RNA (STUB_LNC010448)". Lineage: Eukaryota; Viridiplantae; Streptophyta; Magnoliopsida; Solanales; Solanaceae. The record is from RNAcentral.
AUCUUCACAGAAGGCCUUGGAUGUCCGGUGAAACUUUAGUCAUUCUUCCACCUUCUUCUUUCAAUCGUUGAUGUUUAGGUUUUUUUCCACUAUCCUCAUAAGUUUUGUCUCGAAAAUUUAAGUGGUACUUUGAUUUUAUUUUUCGUUUUGAUUUUAGGUCUUAUUUUGUCCACUUAUUAUUCGAAUGGUUUGAUUUUUCAUUCAAUUUGUUGAUCUAUUCGGUUUCUGUGUUGUAGUUAUGUUUCAUGCACUGAAUUUAGAUUUAAUUUGAUGUUGUUUUGAUCCUUCGUAUUUUGCAGGGAUGAAGCGUAGGAACUUCAUAUUCAAAAUAUCUUCCCAAUUUCUCCAUUUCUCAUAGGGUAAGUUGCUGAUUUCUUGGUCUACGAUUUCAAUAUUGGAAAACAAAUUACACUCUUAAACUGUGUUUCAUCUUCUGUAAUUUGAUUGUAAGAGUUUGUUUUACUUUUUCCUUAGCAUAACAUUAUACUUGCUCAUAUCCGACUCUGUCCAUAAUCAAAUUAUGUGUACUAUCCAUAAUUCUAUUACAAUCUUUUUUGCUUUUGUGGCUCUCAAUUUCAUCAGGUUUUUUUCUGUAUCAAACAUUUUAGAAGUUACUACAUUUCUCUAUCUUGGUGUUUAUCUUAGCUCUUUGUAUUGGUGAGACUGUACUCUCAUUGUUUAUAAUAACCCAAAAAAAAAAUUGGGUUGCUUCUUCCUCUGUUGUAAGUUUGUAUACAUCUCAAUUAAUUUUCGAUGUUCUCAAAAAUGUAUAAACUCACUAAUGGAGCAUGUCUCUAAUGGUGAACAUUUUGGCUGCUCCUUUUUUAAAUGUUGAUGCACCUAAGGUGUUCGAUAGUAUGACAAAGCACUACACUAUUUCAAAUUUUCUUCUUUUUCUCAUCAGGUUUACUGUAACAUACUCCUCUACCAAUCAUCAAUCUGAAUGUUACAUUACUUAGUUUUAUUGGACAAGAUUAGAGAGCAAUAUGUGUGUUAUUUAUGGUUAUGUCCAAAAAGUUCACUUGAGAUGUGUAUACUUUGUAUGAAUGUAGUUCAACUACAGUUUGAUAUUGUUUGUCUUGACUUUGUGUCCAGCAAAAAAGUAGAAUAUAAUGUGACUUUUAGAAAAAAAAAAUUGUGACUAUUACUUUAACAAAUUGAGAACUACUUGCAACAGGAAUGUUGACAAAAAAAUUGAGAGUGUUGCAUGCCUUGAAGGAAGGUCACAGGUUCUAUCCUUUUUGCUAAAAAGUUUGGUUCCCACUGUUUGGGUUAGUUUCUGAACUAUCUUCAUGACUUCUCCCUGUUUUUCUCACUUUUUCAAAGUGUCAAAUAUCCUGUUGACGGAUAUCUGAUGGUAGUUUAUGGCUUGAGAGCCCUAAGACUUUUAAUUGGUCUCUCUAAUUUCACUAAUGUAAUCGCUAGAUAGUAAUUUACAACAAUGAAUAUACACUUCAAUCAUCUUAAAAGUCUUAAACAAUUACCUGAACAAGUUGGUAAUUUGUUUUAAACACAAAAACUAUAAUUAAUGUUGAUAAUAGGGAUGAUCGAAACAGUAUAUUAGAUACCAUAUAUUCUAACUUAAAAGGUCACAGUUGAUUCGCUAUUACAAGGUAUUCAAUAGUGUUUGUCUUAGCUGAAAAUACAUCUAUUUACUUGUAACAAUAGCUCACGUUUUCUGUCUCGCUGUUUAUAUAAUACUCCCCCUGUUUCAAUUUGUUUGUCCUAUUUUGACUUGACAUGAAGUUUAAAAAAUAUAAAAGAAUUUUGAGUCUUGUGGUCUUAAAUUAAAAGUUAUGUCAAAUGGACCAAAAUGUCAUCUAAUCUUGUGUUUUUAAACAUUUCAUGUAAAAAAUUGAAAUUGAAGAGUUGCUUAAAAAAGGAAAGAGACAUUCUUUUUGGGACUAAAAGGAAAGUAAGACAAAUAAAUUCUACCGGAUGGAGCAAUUCUUCUUUGUAAGUAUCACUUAUGUAUUAAUAACUGUUAUGUUAUUUAUUUGAUGGUAAAGAGGCAUGAAGCAUAAGGGAGAUUUCAUAAAGUUACUCUAAUUUAGAGAGGAAUCGUAACUUUAGUUAUUUUGUUACCAAUAGGCUUACAGAUUGAACAAAAGAAUUUAUAAAAUGAUGAUGAUGAUAGUCGAGAUAAUAUUUUUUGGAUAUCUGAGUGCUUUUUAUGGAAGAGGAAGAAAUUAUUGUGAAAAAAUUUUACAUUGGAUAUCUGAGUGCUUUUUAUGGAAGAGGAAGAAAUUAUUGUGAUAAAAUUUGACAUCUUAUUUCUAAUAUAUAGAGACGUGGUAACACAAAAAGAGGAAAAAAAUAUAACUCUUUGAAAAGCUUGAAUCUUUAAGCAUACUCUUGGCAACUUUUCUAACUGAUUCAAUUAACUCUUGAAAUGUUCCAAUUGUUAAAAAAAUAAAUAAGGGAAGAAAAGGUCAAAAAUUUACUAUUAUUUAAGUCCGGAAUUGUUGUGUAAGAUCGGUGAGUGGGCUUCCAUGUUGUUUGUCCUCUGUGGAAGUUCUACCCUCAAGUUUCCACGUUAGGUUCAUGUUCCCUAGAAUAGAAACUAGAAAGACAUAAUUGGAUAUAGUUGGUCAUUUUUGUAUUCUAUGGUGAUACAAAGCUUACAUUUUAAUCUGCUUUUUAUUCAUCUUGAUUCAGUAUUUUCACAUUGACAGGUGAUAUGAUAUGCUCUGCUUUUAUUUCUACAAAAUCAUUCAUCCAUAAUUGCAUUUAAGGUCAUUUGAAUUUUCGUGGAGUUGAUGUGAAAAAUGUAGCAAUAACAUAGAGGAAAGAACAUGCUGAUGAAAACACCUCUGCAGUAUGAGCUUAGUUUUCUUAAGAAUCUCCCCGAUACAUUUGUGUUUUCUAAGACAUUUAUAAUAUUUCGUUUGAAGCUUUCUUUGGCAAUGCCAACAUAAAUCGCCUUGGAUUCCUUCGAUUAUUUGAUGUAUGUUUCUCCCUAUCUCUUCUCAAAUAGGAUACCUUUUAUCACAUGUUUCUAACAAUAUAUUAGCUACAAGUUACAUGUCUUUUAAAUAGACAAAUAUUUUUAUCUAGCCUAACCGAUGUUUUAACAACAUGAUGAAAUUUUUAUAAAGUUAUAUUCAAUCUUCAUUUGAGAGUAUUUUUUUCUAGCAAUAUCUCAAAAUCUUUUUAGCUUCUCAACAAUACAGUACAUUAUAACUGGUGAUGUCACCUAAGGCACAUGAAAAGAGAGCAGUUUGAUUGCUACACUCUUUACUGGUAAGUUUGAUACUUGAGUUCUGUAGGAGUGAUGAAACAACUUACUUAUGUUAUAUUUCGGCUCCUCCAUUUCAUGUGCUAAUUUACAUGCAACCUAUACUAUAGUUAACCUAAUUCAACUCCUUUUAAGCUACAAUAAGAAGUUCUGCCAUGAGUAUACUUUACGAUUUUCAUUUUGUUUGGUGCUUAUUUUGUGCUCUUUGUAUAGAACAUAGCUAUUUGUGUAGUUUAUAUGUUCUAGGACCAAAGAGUCAAAGUUACACUUCUGAAGUUUAUACGUUAUAGGUUGGUGAUAGGGUAAGAAAUAAUAGUACAUGAAUGAUUAUGAGAUGACGGAAGCAAAAAUUAAUAAUAUGAUACAUGAUAUGUGUAAUGUUUUAUGAUUUUGUAACUUAUAUUGAUUGUUUCUCUUAGCUUUGCUUUUAUAGGAAUUCCUCUGUUGUGUUAUUAUCAAGUCAUGAUAUAUGAUUCAUUUAUCACAUUACGACAAAUUGAAUUUAUUAACUAGGACAGAGAAUGCAACCGACUCUUCUCGACAUCUGUCACUUCACUAGAUAUUAGACACCAGAUGAGAAAUUCAAGAACAAUGGACAUCUCUAUGUUUCCUUUUGAGAGUGAUUGCGUCACCUCACUUUAGUUUCAUGUUUUUUCGUUAGAGAAGAUCCAAUUAUUACCAAAUCAAAAUCGAAUUUAUAUGAGCAAAAGGUGUUUGCCUUUGUAGUUUUGCUGCAAUUGUGAGUGCUACUUUCAUUUAUCAAUUUCCACUUUUCGUUUAAGAUAUGGAACAGUGGAAGUAUUUCUGUUGAAUCUGAUUGGAUAAGUUCAAUUUUAAUAGGUACUACUUAUGUAAUUUUGUUUUGGAUAUGUGGAAUGCCUAUUAUUACCUACGAAGACAUUCUAACUUAAGUACUUAUUCA